CCUACGGGAGGCAGCAGUGGGGAAUAUUGGGCAAUGGACGCAAGUCUGACCCAGCCACGCCGCGUGAAGGAAGAAGGCUCUCGGGUUGUAAACCUCUUUUAAUGGGGAAGAGUAGAAGACGGUACCCCUUGAAUAAGCCAUGGCUAACUACGUGCCAGCAGCUGCGGCCAUACGGAGGUGGCAAGCGUUGUCCGGAAUUACUGGGUGUAAAGGGUGUGCAGCCGGAGAGACAAGUCAGAUGUGAAAUCCGCGGGCUCAACCCGUGAACUGCAGUUGAACCUGUUUGCCUUGAGUAUCGGAGAGGUAAUCGGAAUUCGUGGUGUAGCGGUGAAAUGCGUAGAUAUUAGGAAGAACACCGAUGGCGAAGGCAGAUGACUGGACGACAACUGACGGUGAGGCGCGAAAGCGUGGGGAGCAAACAGGAUUAGAUACCCGGGUAGUC
This 442-nucleotide ribosomal RNA is filed under the name uncultured bacterium. Its description in RNAcentral is "partial 16S ribosomal RNA". It matches the Rfam family "Bacterial small subunit ribosomal RNA", at positions 338 to 795 of the family's 1533-position model. The record is from RNAcentral.